GAGGAGGAAGAGUAUGAUGAGCUAUUUUUUUACUUGUUCCUGCCAUAAUUCCGUACCUACCAGAAGAGAAAAUGCCGUGCACACAUCUCCUCUUCCUGGUGUUAAGAAGUCGUGUCUUUUUUGUAUGGUCUCUAGUGUUGCUUGAGCUAGCAGCCUAGCAUCCUACUGGUUGAAACUAAUAUCAUUAAUGUUACAUGUUUUUGUGAUGCAGCUGUCUGUUGUCUACCUCCAGUGCUGCUACAAAUGAAAACCAAGAUGUCCACUUUGCAUGAUGAAUACAACUGCUGUUUUAAUUGAUCUAGUGCCUUAAGUUAUGAUACUUUCUUGAUAUAAUGUUCAUCGAGAUUUAAACUUCCAAGUUGUUUUCAACUAUUUUUCUGUUCGUUGAGAUUCUUAUGUCGAGAUUUAAACUUCUGGUGUCUGACUUAUGUUGUUGAGAUUCUGUUGUAUAUAAAAUGUGUUUAGCAUGUUCUGCACGUUGCUUGUUCAGUCUUUCUGUAUGUUGAGGGUUUGCUUGAAAGCUUGUAUGUUGUAAGGUGCUCGAUACUGCUUUCAAGAAAAAAUGCUGGAUUUUUUUUCUUGAUUUUCUGAGUUUUCUAAUUCUCAUAUGCCUGGGCUUGUUUAGAAGCAAAUGGGUUGCUGGUAGUAAAUGGUGUCGAACGCCACAUGUGUGGGAUGAGUGCUAGCAGUCAUUUUUCUAUGUAUAUUUCCAGCAAUUUUCUAAUUUCCCUUUGUUUUCUUUCUUUGCUGCCAAACAGCAACGGGUAGGGGGCAGCGGUGCCCAGGGA
This 788-nucleotide long non-coding RNA is filed under the name Setaria viridis. RNAcentral's name for it is "long non-coding RNA (SVIR_LNC008354)". The record is from RNAcentral. Lineage: Eukaryota; Viridiplantae; Streptophyta; Magnoliopsida; Poales; Poaceae.